GACCUCUGCUGGUUCGGACCGCAGCCUUCACAACAAGUUACAACGUAUCCAUAGUUACCGCCGGUGUUUGUGCGAAGUAUGGUCACUAGAGGGUGACACGGGAGUGGAUUUCAAACUUCGCUUUAAACGCUCUGCUGAUGUCCUGAGGUCAUACUGAUAGGAGGAGCCUGAGUGACAGUAAUGCUGCAAAACCAGAAGACGGCAGUGUUGGAUGCACAGUUGUGGUGAUGCCUGUACUUUCUAUCCCUCAGAACAUACACUUACUUUGGUUUCCUCAUGUCACUUUUGAAGUGUUGCAUGUUCCCAACUAAUCAGAGGCCAUACUUCAAACUGUAUUGAUCCAAAUGAUACUGUUGUGCAAAAA
Long non-coding RNA from Cyprinus carpio (common carp), 364 nucleotides. RefSeq lists it as uncharacterized. The record is from RefSeq and is a predicted model, not a curated record. NCBI's taxonomy places the organism in Eukaryota, Metazoa, Chordata, Actinopteri, Cypriniformes, Cyprinidae.